RNAcentral lists this transfer RNA (77 nucleotides) under Escherichia coli. RNAcentral describes it as "tRNA-Arg". Lineage: Bacteria; Pseudomonadati; Pseudomonadota; Gammaproteobacteria; Enterobacterales; Enterobacteriaceae. The record is from RNAcentral.
UGCGAAUGAUCCGUGACAGCGUGGUAUGGCUGCCAACCGCACUGGCACGAAACAGCACGCUACCGUCCUGUACCACU